Taeniopygia guttata (zebra finch) is the source of this 3651-nucleotide long non-coding RNA. NCBI's taxonomy places the organism in Eukaryota, Metazoa, Chordata, Aves, Passeriformes, Estrildidae. The record is from Ensembl.
AGACUGGUGCUGUUGGAAGUGCUGGUGGCACCCGCAGCUUCGCUCCGGCAGCGGGACACGGAUCGGGCACCCAGCUGGUGCCCUCAGCUCGGCACUUUGCACCCCCAGCAACUCAUCCUGAAGCCAUUCCUGCCCUUCCCACGAAGACAUUUAUCCAUGGAGGCACUCACCGGAUCCACAGCUCCUUCCCCACAUCCUCCAGAGCGUCUGAGACUGGGAGAGGGAACAUCCAGGGCUGGAAACAGGGAAUCACCUAUGGAAGAAGCAGCACCGGGAAUGCUGAAAGCAGGAGAAGAGUGGGAUUUCUGCCCCUUUGCUCCCAGGUUUAUGCCGGUGAGAUUUGGGCCGCAGGGUGGGAAUGAUCCAUGGCUUUGUGUCCCUCCAAUCACAGGUAGGUUGCUCCACCACAGGGAUUCAUCCCUGUGCUUUCCACACUUCUCCUUCCACAGUCAUUUGAUGGCAAGGGGUCAGGAUCAGUUUCCCUGGGAAACCCCAGCCCCAUCCAGCACAGUUUCUGUGGGAAAGUCAUGAACUCUUUGAUAUUGAGGAUUAAUGAGAAUGACAGGGGGAAUGUAGGAUGACAGCAGAAACCUUGGCUUCAGCAUCCUUCCCUGGGCUGCAGGAAUUAUCCAGGUAGAGCAAGGGACAGAUAAAAAUCCAUGAGCCAGAGAAAGCUUAGGAUUUCCCCUAAUUUCAGUCUCACUUUCCCUCUGCCCAGAGCCCCUUACUUCCCAGGCACAGGAGCAUCCCCCUGGAGCAAAUUCCCCACGCACCAAUUCCCAAAGCCACCCAUGGAUGCCCUGCCAUGGGAUCCCUCCAUGGACCCCAGACCAGACCAAAUCCAUCCCACAUCCUACCUGGCCUCUCCCCGCUGCAGCUCCCAGCCCGGGAUGUGCUGAGGAUUUAUAUGGCUCCGUCCCUCCCGCCAGGAUGUGGGGAAGGAGAUUUUCCCAUGGCCAGGGGCUCUUCCACUUCCCCCAUUGGGAAAGGAUCAGAGAAUUUUUUCUCAUCAGAAAGAGCUUUUGCUGGGAAAGGUCUUGUUUCCCAGGACCUGGAGCCAAAUCCAUGGAGACUGUUGGCUGAGGAGCUUGGGAAGGGGAUGAGAUAUCCCAGAAUGGGAGUGGGAGGCUCUUUCAUCCAGGGAAUGCAUCCCGAAGCUCUCAGGCACCUGGAUAUUCUUCCAGCCUGGAAAGCCCCAUUUUACCCCCAUUCCCAUCUAAAAGAAGCCAUGACCUCCCAGCAAAUCCCCUAGGAAAGGCUCUGGCUGCAUGAGAGGGAUGGAAAUCACCCCCACUCCCCAGGGAACAGCUCCAGAGGUGCUCAUACACCCUGAGUCCUUUCCCUCCCAGCUAAGGGACCUUUUCCCUCUCUCCUGCAGCACAGGGGUGGCUGUCACCCUGCUGGUCUCCCCACUUUGGGUUUUUCCCGCUACAUUUCUGUUCCGUGUGCUUUGGAGCUGCUGUAUUUUGGGGAAACAAUGCACCCCAUGGUCAGCUCAGGGCAGGGCCGUGCUCCUGGAUCCAGCUGGAGCUUGGAGGUGACUCAGGGGCACGAGCAGCCCUGGGAGUGGUGACACAGCAGUGAGGGGGAGCCCCAGCCCCAGUGGUGGGGGGGUGACAUGAAAGGAAGAGGGAGCUCUGGGAACUUUUAAUCAGCCUUUUCCAAAUGCACACUAAUCAAACUUGGAUUUAUGACACCAGAGAGGCAGCUCAGAUAUAGAGAGGUUUUUGGCACUGAGUCCUCCAUGGCCAUGCGAUGGUCCAGCUAAACAGCACAACCUCAAUCCCUGUCUUCAGGACCUGCUAGUGGCUUUAACCCUUCCAGCACCAUCACUGCAGCACAAGGAAAAACCCAGCAGUGCCUGAGGGAGCUGACAUGGGAUGAUCAAUGGCUUGGCUCAGCUGAAGGAGGAAAACCACCUAAAACGAUCCCCUUUUGGUCCUCAUCUGCAGCUUUCACCCACUUCCCAUCCAGCUCCCUUGGCUGAGACUCCAGGGAUCACAAAUCUCUAAAUGAAUCCAGGAACUGUGGAAUUCUGGAGGCAUUGGAGCACCAUACUGGCUACAGUGGCACCAAAUGCUUGGCUAUUCCCCCAAAAAACUGGGAGAUGGAUGCUCCUCUUUGUUGCUUCCCACCCCUGGAGCUCCUCCCAGCACAGCACAAGCUGGUGGGAAAUGUCCUUCCUGGAAGAAACCACACCGUGAGCAUCCUAUGGGAAGGAGGAACAUGAGGAUUGGGAGUAUUUUCCACUGUGGUGGGAAAACAUUCAGCCUGCUCCCUUUCCACUUUUCCCCUGCCCACCUCCCCAUAUUGCCACAAAACAGGAAAAUGUGCUGGCAGUCAUUAGCAUCUCUCUGGAAAAUGCCAGGUUGCCAGCCCAGCUUCCAGAUCCAACUCUCCAGAAACCCCCAGAGUGGCUGCGAGCUUCAGGGAAAGCCAGAAUCAUGGUCAAAAAUCCCAUUUUCCUUCUAAAAAGAAAGGGGUGGAAACUGCUCCUGCUGGAUAUUCCCAGUGGGAUGGAGCUACUGCAGGAUGCAGAUCCUAAAGAAUCAUGUCACACCACUGCCUGCAUUACCUGCGGGGUUCAGCCACAUCCACUUGGGCAAUGCAACACCCAAAGGGAUCCCUCGGGAUAGCUGGAAUCCUAGGGGAUCCAGCUGCUCUGCUGGGCAGGCCGGCACCUGCCUUCCCGCAGAGCGAAAAACAAGUUGCUAAGUCACAGCAAAACCAUGAAAGCAAAACCACAGAGCCCCAAAGCACCUCUGAGUCACUCCCCGGCCGCCGCCACGGCCCCAGAGCCCUCCCAAAAUUUGCCGCCACCUGCAGCUGCUGAUCCAUGCUCCAAAGGGCUGCUCCAGAGGUGCUGGGAAGCAUUUUCUUGCAGGGAAAGCCUCUCUGAGUGCACACAGCCAUGGAUGGAGGAGCCGAGGUGACGACCAAGCCAACCUGGCAGCCCCCACUCAUCCUUUCUUUCCGUAACUUCACCUGGAUUUUUAUUGUUACUGAGCGAUGCCGAACACUCGCAAGGAUGGGGAUGGAGCCGAAGCCCGGGCAGACAGCGCUCCCGGGAUUAGUCACCGGCGGCAGCAGCACUGCUGACAUGAGUCACGGAGGUUUGGCCGCCCAGUAAACCCGGGAUUUUCAGGUUCCCAGCUCUGGGGUUGUCCUGGGGACACCCUUCUGUAACUGCUGCCGGGUCCUCUCAGCCGCCUCCCGGCACUGCUGCUUUGCCGUGGGAUUCCGCAGAGCUGGAAUGGCGGAAUCGGUCCCAUGUUUGCGUCCCGUUUUGUGCCUGAGGUGGGAAUUGCGACGGAGGCGUGGGAUGCAGCCGGGUGACAGCGGGGCUAUGCCGGUGGCCCCGGGGACGAUGCCGACAGAGGUCACUGUUGCCGAAAAGUUGCGAGCCCCAGCCAAAAAACCAAAGAGAACUCGGUGGGGAAGGCGGCGAUGGGGUCAGGCUGGAACAGGCACCGCGUCCCAGCUGCGGGACCUUCCCGGGAAUGAUGCACCGGGAAGCGCAGCCGGCACCGCGAUCCAUGCGAUGGGAUGAGCUGCCACCGAGGGACGUCCCAGGAGCCGCCCAGCCGGGACUGAAGACGGAUCAUGAGGCUAAUUCCCCCCUGGAGAGGGGAUUUGCUGCCGCCGGAUGAU